This 73-nucleotide transfer RNA is filed under the name Salmo salar (Atlantic salmon). It matches the Rfam family "tRNA". Rfam says of the family: Transfer RNA (tRNA) molecules are approximately 80 nucleotides in length. Their secondary structure includes four short double-helical elements and three loops (D, anti-codon, and T loops). The record is from Rfam by way of RNAcentral. Lineage: Eukaryota; Metazoa; Chordata; Actinopteri; Salmoniformes; Salmonidae.
GCCUCCGUAGCUCAGUUGGUUGAGCAUGGUGUUUGCAACGCCAGGGUUGUGGGUUCGAUUCCCACGGGGGGCC